CCCGGGGUCGGGGAGCGGUGGGGAGGGGGAGGGUCCCUAAGAAAGGUGUGUGACUCACGAGAGGUUCAGACCCGCAGGAGCAGCAGGGCAGAGGCAGGGCCAGGAGCUGGGAGGGGACCUGGGGGCGGGACAGGAGGCAGAGCCCGCAGGGCCCCCGAGCCAGCAGCCGAGGACAGCCCAGACGAGCCAGGGCCCCUGGUGGACACAGGCUUCAUGGGGGUCGAGGGCUUCUGAGGGAGCGAGGUCAGACCCCACAGGCCAGCUGAGGCCCUGCCGAAUGCUGGUCCGCUCGCUCACUCCCUCCUGCGCUGUAAGGAGAGAGGCAGCUCCUCCCCGCCCCCCCCCAUGCCCCCUUCCCGGUGCCCAGAGCCCCAGCUCCUGGGAUGAGAUCCAACGCUGCCUCCUCUGAUUCCAGCAUGAUCACCAAGGCGGGAUUAUGACAUUUAAGAGUCAGGACGGGCGCUCUUGCCAGCCUGAGCCGAGCUUCUUUCCAGGUGACGUGGAGCCAAGGCCGGGCCGGGAAGCACUGCAGGGGUCUGUGUCUGCCCUGAGAUGGAGCCUCGGCCGGCACGACCGCAGGGGACUGACACGGCUUCAUCUCUGCGUCCAGCAGAAGGGAGACCAGAUGGCCCAGUGAACAGAGCAGCAGGGUGCAGCCUGGGAAGACCCUCACGACUGUGCCCGAGGAGAGAUGCUGGUCACGCCGGCUCCCAGGCCCUCUGGGCAGUCUGGAGCCCACCCAGGCCCCCUGCCCACUCCCUGAGGAGCCCCAGGAGGUGUCUGAGGUGCCAGGCAGGAAAGGGUUAAGGAAGCACUGAACAAAUCUGAUUUACAUGCAAAAGCAGCCCCAUCCCUUCCUGACAACCCAAGGCUUGUGCAAACCAAUCAAUAUUUUAUGAAGACGGUUUCUGGCUCUGGGGGGCGGUGGGGACGGGGGCCAGGCCCCCCUGCGGCGGAAGGGGGGGGCCCCUGGGCCGCCAGUCCCCUGAAGGAGCUGGGCUCCUCUAGCGCUGUAGUGAUUCUCUCUCCUCCGCCCCUGCUCACGUCUCUGUCCAUCGAUGAGGCUGGCCGGCGCUCUGCAGGGACCCCUGUCCAAGCUGAUCCCGUCAAGACUGUCUGCACCGUGAGGCCAGCUGCCGCCGGGCCUGGGAGCCGCUG
RNAcentral lists this long non-coding RNA (1158 nucleotides) under Ovis aries (sheep). Its description in RNAcentral is "lncRNA (ENSOARG00000026474.1)". Lineage: Eukaryota; Metazoa; Chordata; Mammalia; Artiodactyla; Bovidae. The record is from RNAcentral.